UUGGGGCUGGGGCCUCCAAGUUAAAGAAACUGAAAGCUGCUUUAGACUGUUCUACUUCCCACCUGGAUGAGCUCCACUCUGACCCCCAUGCUGUCGCACGUGCUUUAAAGUCCUGUUUACGGGAACUGCCUGAACCUUUGAUGACUUUUAAUCUGUAUGAAGAAUGGACACAAGUUGCAAGCAUGCAGGAUCAAGACAAAAAACUUGAGGAUUUAUGGAGAACAUGCCAAAAGUUGCCACCACAAAAUUUUGUUAACUUUAGGUAUUUAAUCAAGUUCCUUGCAAAGCUUGCUCAGACCAGCAACGUCAAUAAAAUGACUCCCAGCAACAUUGUGAUUGUGUUAGGCCCGAACUUAUUAUGGGCCAAAACUGAGGGGUAAGUGACCUGUCCCCGUAUCACGGUAUUUCAGUCUCACUGCGUGGGAACAGACCCCCGUUCCGGGGUAAGAUGCACUUCCAGAGUUGCGCUCCUGAACCUGGUCAUUCCACGUAGCCGACAUUCUCGAAACACUGCCAUGAGCUGGGUCCCAUCCCAGACGCUGUCCACACAGUUCUCAGAGGGCCCCGCCCUUGGGCAUUCAGACAGAUGAAUGGCCGUGGCACCGUGACAAAGCUCAUGUCUGUGCACAUGGGGGUGCUGCCGCAGACCUUACAAAGUACGACGGCCACGGUGCUUACUGAAGGAACACAGCUCAGGCUGCGGAGUGCAGGGAGAGCCCUGCAGGGGAAAAGGCACUUGGGUUGUACUUGGGUGAAUGAAUAGCUCCAUGCAGGUGUGACCCGAAUGAGCAAAAGUAUUGUGCGCGUGAAAGGGCUUGGUCGCUAGUUUGGGGGUGGGGUGCUGUCACGUGGUCUUGUAGAACCUCAGCACAGGAUCCAGGGGACUGUGACCGAGAUUAUGAAGCCACAGCCAGCUUCUGAGGGGCCUCAUAUGUCGCAGCAUCAAGGUUUCUAAGCAGAAGAAUGAGUUGAUCAAACGGCAUUUAAAAAAAGAAUUUUGGGGGUGCCUGGGUGGCUCAGUAGGUUAAGCAUCUGCCUUCGGCU
This is a long non-coding RNA of Ailuropoda melanoleuca (giant panda), 1044 nucleotides long. RefSeq lists it as uncharacterized. Lineage: Eukaryota; Metazoa; Chordata; Mammalia; Carnivora; Ursidae. The record is from RefSeq and is a predicted model, not a curated record. The transcript is spliced from 4 exons.